CAGUUGUGUGGAAUCUUGGGUCACCCAUGGCUAACUCCCUAGUCCAGGGGUUGAGAACCUGCAGCCUGAAGGCGCAUGGGAGAAGCAUGGAGGGAAUGCAGGGGAGCCAAAAUGGAUAGAGUGAUGGGAGGAGGUGUGGGUGAAAGUCUUCUACAACUGUUUGAUUCAGGCCUCUGGCAAGAGUGGCCUGUCCCUCCCCGUCCCUCCCCGAAGCCCAUUGGGUAGGGAGAGACUGUGUGUCAAGCGAUGGCCCCACUCACUUUUGUCUCCAGCCAUCCCUAUUAUUGGCUUUGUUGGGAUACAAGGUUGAGUCUUAUGCAACAAACCCACUUUUCCCACUUUUUGCAAUAAGGAAAGUGAUGAGGAAAUGCACUGGAGAGUGUCUGACCUCCCCUCAAAGAAAUCAGAAUCUAGCCAAUGUUGUGUAACCUCUCAGCAAAAAAAUCAGGCAGAAUGCUCAAUAGCAGGUCCAGUGACCAUCAUAGAUAGGUCAGCUUGGCCACAAACAUCAUUUCCUGUUUCCUGUGCUUUCACUAGUUUUUCUAAACUAGGAUAUUAUUCAGUUUUCAUGUCAGAUGUUUGAACUUAAAUUCACUUCUUCUGACUUUAAGGACAAAUAACAUACUCAAGAGCCAAGAAAACACAUUUUAGGCCCCUGCAGCGCAGAUUCACCUCACUCUUGACCUGUAGCUAAACCAGAUGAGCCCUACACAGCUGCGCUCAUGCCGUUCCUUCUCCCCCUUGUGCUUUCAAGUUAAGUAGAGACACAUUUAUUAUUAUUUUCAUGCCCUAAAUUGCACUGUGUUCUACACACAGGAAAGGGUCAUAUACCGAAGGCUUGCAACUUGAGUGCAUCAGCAACACUGUGCACGUACCCAGUGUUUUCCAGCCAUAUACUCCAGGGCACCCUGUGCCCAGACAGAUAUAAAAUGACAGGUGGGCAUGAGGAGAGAAUGCAACAAGUCAAUGGUACUCUUUCUGCUCCAGAGGACUGGCACAAACAAAACUCACUUGUGCUUCCCUGGGUAGCAGACCUUUUGAUCAGGAUCUUCUGCGCAAGUAAACAAAAUAUUGCCUCUAAGGCCCACGAAUGAAGAAGAAGCAUGAACAUCUCCCCUCACUACCAUCUCAAGGCCAAAAGGACUCCCAGCUGAGCCUGCAAGGGCAUUGCCAUGAGAGGGAGAAAUGAGCUCCUGCACAACAAGAAGAAAUUGAGGGGACAGCCCUGUUCCUGAAGAUGCCUUGAUGAGGAAAGCUGUACCCAUGGAAGGCAAAGGAACUCAGGGACGCCUAGCAACUCUCUACUUGAAGGGACCAAGAGAAAAUUCUAAACACCAUUGGGGGCAGCUAUGCAAAUAUUAAGAAUAAGGGGAAAGUUACGGUUCUAAGGCAAAGAGGACAUGAUCUGAGCUUCUUGUGGUGAUGGAAUGUGUUGGAAAUUCCAAGGGAGUUCAGUGGAAGGAAAAGGCCAGAGGUGGGAGUAGGCUGGGAAGCAGCAAAAUGUGGUUAAAGUCCAACAAGCCACAUAUUGUAAAACAAGAAAUUCUUUGCAGCUGAGGAGUGGGGAUUUUUGAAGAUAACUGAGAUGAAGGAUUCGCUUUAGUGCUGCUCUCUUUUUUUCCUAGACCAGAAGUAUCGCAGAAACCUGAUUGAUUGCCUUCCAGCCUUUUGCGAUUAUGUCAUUUUGUUCUUCAGCACUGGUUCUUCAAAUAUUCUGACAGAUUCUUACAAAACUUUCACUAAUAGGGUAUGUAGAAGGAGUUGGUGGUGGUGUAGAAGGUAAUUAAUAAUUGUAAUAAUAAUAAAAGCAGUUUCAUCUGCAUUAUUUUAUUACAUAGUGGUUGUAUUGAGAGCUGCCUUGAGCGUUCAAAAAUGGGAUGCCAUAAAGGCGGAUAAAUCUAUUGUGUUUCACACCAAUAAAAUAUUUAGAGGGUUAGAA
This is a non-coding RNA of Podarcis muralis (Common wall lizard), 1939 nucleotides long. The record is from RefSeq and is a predicted model, not a curated record. Lineage: Eukaryota; Metazoa; Chordata; Lepidosauria; Squamata; Lacertidae.